Molecule: non-coding RNA, 85 nt
Organism: Felis catus (domestic cat)
Lineage: Eukaryota; Metazoa; Chordata; Mammalia; Carnivora; Felidae
Source: Rfam
GCCUGGGUGGCUCAGUCGGUUGAGCAUCUGACUUCAGCUCAGAUCAUGGUCUCACAGUUUGUGAAUUCAAGCCCUGCGUCAGGCU